This 253-nucleotide ribosomal RNA is filed under the name uncultured bacterium. RNAcentral describes it as "partial 16S ribosomal RNA". It matches the Rfam family "Bacterial small subunit ribosomal RNA", at positions 524 to 776 of the family's 1533-position model. The record is from RNAcentral.
GACAGAGGUGCCGAGCGUUAGGCGGAAUCACUGGGCUUAAAGCGUGUGUAGGCGGGUCCGUAAGUACCUUGUGAAAUCCCAUGGCUCAACCAUGGAACUGCUUGGUAUACUGCGGAUCUUGAGCCGCCUAGGGGCAAGUGGAACAAACGGUGGGGCGGUGAAAUGCGUAGAGUAUCGUUUGGAACGCCAAUGGUGAAAACAACUUGCUGGGGGUGUGCUGACGCUGAGACACGAAGCCAGGGGAGCAAACGGG